RNAcentral lists this ribosomal RNA (460 nucleotides) under uncultured bacterium. RNAcentral describes it as "partial 16S ribosomal RNA". It matches the Rfam family "Bacterial small subunit ribosomal RNA", at positions 338 to 795 of the family's 1533-position model. The record is from RNAcentral.
CCUACGGGAGGCAGCAGUGAGGAAUAUUGGUCAAUGGACGAGAGUCUGAACCAGCCAAGUAGCGUGAAGGAUGACUGCCCUAUGGGUUGUAAACUUCUUUUAUAUGGGAAUAAAACGUUCCACGUGUGGGAUUUUGUAUGUACCAUAUGAAUAAGGACCGGCUAACUCCGUGCCAGCAGCCGCGGUAAUACGGAGGAUCCGAGCGUUAUCCGGAUUUAUUGGGUUUAAAGGGAGCGUAGGUGGAUUGUUAAGUCAGUUGUGAAAGUUUGCGGCUCAACCGUAAAAUUGCAGUUGAAACUGGCAGUCUUGAGUACAGUAGAGGUGGGCGGAAUUCGUGGUGUAGCGGUGAAAUGCUUAGAUAUCACGAAGAACUCCGAUUGCGAAGGCAGUUCACUGGACUGCAACUGACACUGAGGCUCGAAAGUGUGGGUAUCAAACAGGAUUAGAGACCCCAGUAGUC